AUUGAACGCUGGCGGAAUGCUUUACACAUGCAAGUCGAACGGUAGAGGGGGCAACCCCUCGAGAGUGGCGAACGGGUGAGUAAUAUAUCGGAACGUGCCCAGUCGUGGGGGAUAACGUAGCGAAAGUUACGCUAAUACCGCAUACGAUCUAAGGAUGAAAGCGGGGGACUCGCAAGAGCCUCGCGCGAUUGGAGCGGCCGAUAUCAGAUUAGGUAGUUGGUGGGGUAAAGGCUCACCAAGCCAACGAUCUGUAGCUGGUCUGAGAGGACGACCAGCCACACUGGAACUGAGACACGGUCCAGACUCCUACGGGAGGCAGCAGUGGGGAAUUUUGGACAAUGGGCGCAAGCCUGAUCCAGCAAUGCCGCGUGCAGGAAGAAGGCCU
Molecule: ribosomal RNA, 385 nt
Filed under: uncultured bacterium
Lineage: Bacteria
Description: bacterial SSU rRNA
Rfam family: Bacterial small subunit ribosomal RNA
Source: RNAcentral